AGCCAUGUGGUGAGCACA
RNAcentral lists this non-coding RNA (18 nucleotides) under Arabidopsis thaliana (thale cress). Lineage: Eukaryota; Viridiplantae; Streptophyta; Magnoliopsida; Brassicales; Brassicaceae. The record is from RNAcentral.